AUUGAACGCUGGCGGCAGGCCUAACACAUGCAAGUCGAGCGGAGGAAGGGAGCUUGCUCCUGGAUUCAGCGGCGGACGGGUGAGUAAUGCCUAGGAAUCUGCCUGGUAGUGGGGGAUAACGUCCGGAAACGGGCGCUAAUACCGCAUACGUCCUGAGGGAGAAAGUGGGGGAUCUUCGGACCUCACGCUAUCAGCUUAGCCUAGGUCGGAUUAGCUAGUUGGUGGGGUAAAGGCCUACCAAGGCGACGAUCCGUAACUGGUCUGAGAGGAUGAUCAGUCACACUGGAACUGAGACACGCUCCAGACUCCUACGGGAGGCAGCAGUGGGGAAUAUUGGACAAUGGGCGAAAGCCUGAUCCAGCCAUACCGCGUGUGUGAAGAAGGUCUUCGGAUUGUAAAGCACUUUAAGUUGGGAGGAAGGGCAGUAAGUUAAUACCUUGCUGUUUUGACGUUACCAACAGAAUAAGCACCGGCUAACUUCGUG
Molecule: ribosomal RNA, 484 nt
Filed under: uncultured bacterium
Lineage: Bacteria
Description: partial 16S ribosomal RNA
Rfam family: Bacterial small subunit ribosomal RNA
Source: RNAcentral